Molecule: ribosomal RNA, 468 nt
Filed under: uncultured bacterium
Lineage: Bacteria
Description: partial 16S ribosomal RNA
Rfam family: Bacterial small subunit ribosomal RNA
Source: RNAcentral
GACGAACGCUGGCGGCGUGCUUAACACAUGCAAGUCGAACGGAAAGGCGCUGCUUUUGUGGGGUGCUCGAGUGGCGAACGGGUGUGUAACAUGUGAGUAACCUGCCCUGGACUGUGGGAUAACUUGAGGAAACUGGGGCUAAUACCGGAUAGGAGCUCCUGAUGCAUGGUGGGGGUUGGAAAGUUUCGGCGGUUGGGGAUGGACUCGCGGCUUGUCAGCUUGUUGGGGGGGUACUGGCUUACCCAGGCUUUGAUGGGUAGCCGGCAUGGGAGCUGGACCACCGCCAAUGGGACUACGGUACGGACCAGUCGCGAACGGUGGACAACGGUGGGAAAUAUUGCCCAGUGGUGCGAAGCCUGAGGCAGCGACGCCGGGUGCGUAAUGACGGCCUUCUGGUGAAAAACCGCUUUGGCCUAUUACCAAGCGGGAGUGACGGUAAUGGGUAAAGAAGCACCGGCUAACUACGUG